RNAcentral lists this ribosomal RNA (433 nucleotides) under uncultured bacterium. RNAcentral describes it as "partial 16S ribosomal RNA". It matches the Rfam family "Bacterial small subunit ribosomal RNA", at positions 29 to 507 of the family's 1533-position model. The record is from RNAcentral.
AACGAACGCUGGCGGCAUGCCUAACACAUGCAAGUCGAACGAGACCUUCGGGUCUAGUGGCGCACGGGUGCGUAACGCGUGGGAACCUGCCCUUAGGUUCGGAAUAACUCCCCGAAAGGGGUGCUAAUACCGGAUAAUGUCUUCGGACCAAAGAUUUAUCGCCUUUGGAUGGGCCCGCGUUGGAUUAGCUAGUUGGUAGGGUAAAAGCCUACCAAGGCGACGAUCCAUAGCUGGUCUGAGAGGAUGAUCAGCCACACUGGGACUGAGACACGGCCCUGACUCCUACGGGAGGCAGCAGUGGGGAAUAUUGGACAAUGGGCGAAAGCCUGAUCCAGCAAUGCCGCGUGAGUGACGAAGGCCUUAGGGUUGUAAAGCUCUUUUACCCGGGAUGAUAAUGACAGUACCGGGAGAAUAAGCUCCGGCUAACUCCGUG